GUGUUUUUAGUUUAUUAGAAUAUUGGCUUGUCUCGCCGAAGGUGGUUUUGGCCAAAGCACU
RNAcentral lists this transfer RNA (61 nucleotides) under Haplobothrium globuliforme. RNAcentral describes it as "tRNA-Asp". The record is from RNAcentral. Lineage: Eukaryota; Metazoa; Platyhelminthes; Cestoda; Haplobothriidea; Haplobothriidae.